RNAcentral lists this ribosomal RNA (419 nucleotides) under uncultured Prevotella sp. RNAcentral describes it as "bacterial SSU rRNA". It matches the Rfam family "Bacterial small subunit ribosomal RNA", at positions 358 to 774 of the family's 1533-position model. Lineage: Bacteria; Pseudomonadati; Bacteroidota; Bacteroidia; Bacteroidales; Prevotellaceae. The record is from RNAcentral.
GGAAUAUUGGUCAAUGGUCGAGAGACUGAACCAGCCAAGUAGCGUGCAGGAUGACGGCCCUAUGGGUUGUAAACUGCUUUUAUGCGGGGAUAAAGUGCGCCACGUGUGGCGUUUUGUAGGUACCGCAUGAAUAAGGACCGGCUAAUUCCGUGCCAGCAGCCGCGGUAAUACGGAAGGUCCGGGCGUUAUCCGGAUUUAUUGGGUUUAAAGGGAGCGCAGGCCGGAGGUCAAGCGUGACGUGAAAUGUAGCCGCUCAACGGCUGAGUUGCGUCGCGAACUGGUUUCCUUGAGUGAGUACGACGUCAGCGGAAUUCGUGGUGUAGUGGUGAAAUGCUUAGAUAUCACGAAGAACUCCGAUUGCGAAGGCAGCCAACAAGGCCUUUACUGACGCUAAAGCUCGAAGGUGCGGGUAUCGAACA